AUUCCAUUCAUGAAAGAUCACAUGUGGAGAUUAGAACUGCCAAAAAAAAAUAGCUUAAGCAGCCCUUUGAGUGUUCUAAAAUAGGGACAUUUUCCAGAGC
Vicugna pacos (alpaca) is the source of this 100-nucleotide non-coding RNA. The record is from RefSeq and is a predicted model, not a curated record. Lineage: Eukaryota; Metazoa; Chordata; Mammalia; Artiodactyla; Camelidae.